Molecule: long non-coding RNA, 471 nt
Organism: Tribolium castaneum (red flour beetle)
Lineage: Eukaryota; Metazoa; Arthropoda; Insecta; Coleoptera; Tenebrionidae
Exons: 2
Source: RefSeq, a predicted model, not a curated record
GGUCUUCAUGCUCUAAUGAGAAAAACAAUCGCAAAGAAUUUCAAAAAUGUUAAUAAAACCGCUCGAACAAGUUUCAAUAAUUAGAACGCAGUUUGGUUUUUUCAUGCGGCCUAGGUGACACAGAUUUCGAUCGAGAGAUAUUAAAUGGGACAUGUAAUGACCCUGUUAAAACGAGUUGGACGUGUCUUAAAUAAUAAAAAGUUGGCAAAAAUUACAAAUGCCAAGCGUUAAUUGGACAAUUAUUAUUGUGAUAAGUGACUGAUAAAAGAAGCAGUGACCCUUCAAGCUGACUUACCCUUGACUGAUAGUUCAACUCCUUCAUCAGAAUCCAGACUUUGGGAAUCAAGUUCCAUACUUUUUCGAAAAACUCACAUCACUGGAACACAACGACUACUGAAGGACAACAAACAAACACACGUGUUAUGCAGAAUCCACCAGAGGAAAACAAUAAAUGAUUACAGUAUUAAUUUA